Molecule: non-coding RNA, 349 nt
Organism: Phascolarctos cinereus (koala)
Lineage: Eukaryota; Metazoa; Chordata; Mammalia; Diprotodontia; Phascolarctidae
Source: RefSeq, a predicted model, not a curated record
GGUCAACCAAAUGCUUGGCUGCAAUCUGGGCUAUGAAGAACCAUCAGUUUCAGGCAUGAGAGGUGAUCCUGGGGAACCAGGAGUUUGAGCCAUGGCUACCUCAGAGCCAAGAUUGCAGAUGGGAUGAUGCAGCCAGUCAGCCCUGCAUGGAGAUGCCAGGGGGCCUGGGACUUGAGCCUCAGGGGCUUUCAGACUUGGAACUGGAACUGUUGCUCUAUAGGAACCAAGUUGCACAGAGACUGAGAUGAUGAAGGGGUGGAGAAGGAUUAUGCCUCCCAUGUGUUAGGGGAGUAAAUUUAGAUAUUUGUAAUUAUACCAUUUGAAGUAAAUAGUUCUGUCUAAAUACUAA